AUAAUACUCCCUCCGUCCAGAAUUACUUGUCGGGAUGUAUCUAGAUGUAUUUUAGUUCUAGAUACAUUCAUUUCUAUCCAUUUCUACGACGAGUAAUUUGGGACGGAGGGAGUACUAC
This is a non-coding RNA of Triticum aestivum (bread wheat), 118 nucleotides long. NCBI's taxonomy places the organism in Eukaryota, Viridiplantae, Streptophyta, Magnoliopsida, Poales, Poaceae. The record is from Rfam.